RNAcentral lists this ribosomal RNA (695 nucleotides) under Curtobacterium sp. RNAcentral describes it as "bacterial SSU rRNA". It matches the Rfam family "Bacterial small subunit ribosomal RNA", at positions 73 to 781 of the family's 1533-position model. Lineage: Bacteria; Bacillati; Actinomycetota; Actinomycetes; Micrococcales; Microbacteriaceae. The record is from RNAcentral.
CAGGAGCUUGCUCCUGUGAUUAGUGGCGAACGGGUGAGUAACACGUGAGUAACCUGCCCCUGACUCUGGGAUAAGCGUUGGAAACGACGUCUAAUACUGGAUAUGACCGCCGAUCGCAUGGUCUGGUGGUGGAAAGAUUUUUUGGUUGGGGAUGGACUCGCGGCCUAUCAGCUUGUUGGUGAGGUAAUGGCUCACCAAGGCGACGACGGGUAGCCGGCCUGAGAGGGUGACCGGCCACACUGGGACUGAGACACGGCCCAGACUCCUACGGGAGGCAGCAGUGGGGAAUAUUGCACAAUGGGCGAAAGCCUGAUGCAGCAACGCCGCGUGAGGGAUGACGGCCUUCGGGUUGUAAACCUCUUUUAGUAGGGAAGAAGCGAAAGUGACGGUACCUGCAGAAAAAGCACCGGCUAACUACGUGCCAGCAGCCGCGGUAAUACGUAGGGUGCAAGCGUUGUCCGGAAUUAUUGGGCGUAAAGAGCUCGUAGGCGGUUUGUCGCGUCUGCUGUGAAAUCCCGAGGCUCAACCUCGGGCUUGCAGUGGGUACGGGCAGACUAGAGUGCGGUAGGGGAGAUUGGAAUUCCUGGUGUAGCGGUGGAAUGCGCAGAUAUCAGGAGGAACACCGAUGGCGAAGGCAGAUCUCUGGGCCGUAACUGACGCUGAGGAGCGAAAGCGUGGGGAGCGAACAGGAUUAG